UGCCUGCCCUUCCCUUCUCUGGGGACGUGGGGCCAGGAGCACUCCCGGGGCGCAGGGCUCGCCUCACCCGGGGCCCAGCCCUGCCAGGGGAUGGGGGCCCUGAUUCUGACCCCCAGCUCAGCCGGAGGCCAGUCCUGAGGAGUGAGGCCAAGUGAGCCCGAGGGCGGGCGGAGAGUGUGGCCCUGUGGCCGCGCCCUGUCCAGGUGGGCGUGCGGUCUGCAGCUCGGGGCCCCAGGACCUCAGAUGGCUCCCGGACCAGAUGCACAGCAGCAAGGGGCUGGGGGGGGCUUCCUGUCCCUGACCUGUCCCCUAACCUGGCCUCCGUCUCAGAGCCUAGGUGGUACUCCGUGACCUCGGGCCUUGGGGGUGCGCAUGAAAGACAGGCAGGGAGGCAGUGUUCUUCCUUCUGGGCCCCGCUGUCCCCCUGCCCCAGCCCCACCUGGGUGGGACCCCGGCCCACAGGGGAAUGGGCUUCUGGAUCACACCACAGCCCACCCCACACCCCCUUCCGGAAGCACCUGUGUCGGCGGGUCUGGAGCAUGGGGUGGGGUGCCUGGGGACGUCCCCGGGGAGUUGGGUGCACAGGGGGGCCACCGCUUCUCCCUCAGGGCAGCAGAUUGGGGUCCGCGGUUCCGACGCCACUUGCCCCCCUCCUUGAUUAAAGACGUGAGGCGCCUCUGGUUCUUUGUUGACUCCUGACUUAAAGCAAGAACAAGCCGCCUCCCGAGCCGGGCGGGCGGGCAGGCUGUUCUUCCUCAGCUAAAAACAACCCCGAAAACGAGACGAGCUACCCGGUGAGAAACGAGUCCUGGAGAAGGAACCACCACAUACACGCAGGACGCAGGGUGGAAAGGGGGCGUAUUUACACGGUCGGUUUUUACAUCGCUAGUUCCGCACGGAAAGCAGAAGACGUGUGAGUGAGUUAGCUGCUCCGGAGACGUGAAUGUUAUUGCUGUUGUUGGUUUUUCCCUUCGUUAAACAUCUUCUUUCGGCGGAGAAAUAAUGAGUGAUUAAACUGAAUACACAAUCAUUUCGAUGAUGGGCCUCACACACAGGGAGCGGCGACCACCUACGAGAGGUCUCCUCCCUUCGCAGAGAAACUCGGGUGCAGCUGCAGCGCGGGGCCCCAGGGCCCUGCCGCCCGCCAGCCCCACGCCCUGGCCUCGCCCGGGGGCCCUCGGGGUGGCCCGGGUGGGCCAAGGCC
RNAcentral lists this long non-coding RNA (1204 nucleotides) under Sus scrofa (pig). Its description in RNAcentral is "lncRNA (ENSSSCG00015080395.1)". The record is from RNAcentral. Lineage: Eukaryota; Metazoa; Chordata; Mammalia; Artiodactyla; Suidae.